UCUGUUGCUCAGAGUGCAGUGGUGCGAUCUCAGCUCACCGGAAGCUCCUCCUCCCAGGCUCAAGCGAUUCUCCUGCCUCAGCCGCUGACUAGCCGGGAACAAUGUGGAUUCUUUAGAGGCCAGUUCUCAGGAAGAUGAGGAGAGUUUAGAUCCUAAAUACAUUUGCAGUACCUGAGACAUCUGUUCUUCCCUUUUAUUGCUGAAAUUCAGACUAGACCCGAGACCUUGUUUCUAUGGAUGCAGCAGUUGUUGUCAGAGUUAUUUCAACUACAAACAGACUUUUCAAUUCUCAUGCUUUUGUGCAGGCUUCAUACUUUUAAGCCUUAUCUUGAGCUUUUCUUCUUUGGUCUUUGAUCUUAUGCCAGGAAAAUCUUAAAAGGCAAAGUGAAUUUGUGGCGUUUGCUCAUUUUUAACUUUGCAAUUCCAAGACAGAAACAUCAAGAAGCAUCAAAAACCUUUACCCUGGCUAAAGUGGCAGUCACCAACUGCAGAAACACAUGCAAUAUGAGCUUACUUUCCUUAUGAUUGCAUAUGUGUGUGCGCACUUCUGAUGUCAUGUCUAUAUUUCUGCUGGUGGAAACUUUAAAACUGGAAGAUAAUGUGGAGGCAGAGAAAGAAACUGCUACUUUUAAAAGACAAGAGUUGCAAAUUUUAGCUCGUGCAAAUUUUUGAAGGAGGCUAGUGCUGAUGAUGCUUUUUUGAUGUAAAGUUUCUAUAGAAGCAACAAAAUAUAUUUUAUAUAAAGGAAACCCUUCUGCAACUUCUUUUGAUAAUGUUUUAAAAUUGCUACUGAAGGUGUUAGGAAUAACAAAGAAUAUCAGUUGGAUAUAUCAUACCCAACUAACACAACGAGUGUAGCUGGGAAUGAGAGAAGUUUGCAAAGGAAUAUGAAUCUGAUAUCUGGAGAUUAAAUUUUGUUACAAGGCUCUGUCAAUGAAAUUUCUAUCUGCUGAGAACUGCUUCCAGACUGCCUGUGGAGAAAAUGUCUUAUAAGGCACAAGCAAAUUCAUAUUUAAAGAAACAAAAAAGCAGCUUUUCUUUCUUUAUCAUAAAUUUAAUGUGAAGACCAUUCAUUAUGUUCCAAAUGUUGAUUAUGGGAAGCUCUGUUUAUUCCAGAUGAGAAAAGUGACCACACACUUGAAAGCCAAUGGUGUGGGGUGCUGUGUGCAUAUAUAUGUGUGUGUAUGCACUCCUGAGCCAGAACAGCCACACUAGCAGCAUCUAAGUACCUCCGCUCAACCAGUUAAACCUACUCUGCACAGUUUAACCAUCAUCCUGGGGAUUUGUGAGAAGCAGUACUGUGUCUAAUAAAUACUGGCCAUAAACCGAAUUCUUCCUGAAAUUCUGAAAGGUUGCUAAUCAUGCUCCCAGGAUUAUGGUCCAGAAUGGCUGUCAUGUUGCUUACAUAAGGCAUAGGCGUGAUGUGGACACUGACUAUUGAAUUCUACCUGUGAGAGUUGCAGAUACCGGAAUGAAAUCACUGUUUUUCCAGAUCCAAACAACCCAGAGCUGGGAGAACACAAAAGAGGAGAGUUCGUGCUUGCAUAUCUGGAAUAAAGACUGCUUCAAGGACUAUCUAAAAUAAGGCAUAAGAAUUUCUUCUUUAGGAGUGCAGCAAUUCAGAUAAGAUGCUCUCGAAAGAACACCUGCCCACUAAUGGCAUCUCUGCCAAUGAACUCAUGCCAAUUAUUGCUUUCAGUCUCUAAAACCAAGAACGCUGUUUCCAAGCAACUUAUGAGAACUUCUCCUUUGCCAAUAGAAGUUUCCCUUUACUCUCCCCUUUUCAGAUGUAUAUGUGACUUACCAUAGCUGUGCAUAUGGGGUUAUAAUCUACUUUUCUAAUUCCUGAAUAAAUUAAACAUAUUUGGAAUACUUCUCCCUAAUUUUUUUAAUUGGCAUACCCUAGAACAAAAAUAAGCUAUUUCUAUAUUAGAUAAGAAGAUUACUGCUUCUGUAUUUUUACAACUAUGAGGUUGUAUUUGCAAGAAAGGUAUCAUAGUUAUUUUUAUAUAAGAUGGAUCAAAGAUUAAAUGAAGCUAAGAUGCACUUGAGAGACUGUAGAAUCCACUGAGUAGCAGAAAAGUCUAUUUAUCUUUUUCUUCUUCAGCUAUCUCAAAAGUACAAAAAGUUUAUGCCUCUUUGCUCAAACCUAGUAGUCAAUAUCAUACGAAAGGAUUUUGUUGAUAUAAUUCAUGUCCCUGAAUUAUGACAUUAAUCCUCUAGGUGCAUAUAGACUAAGAAUAAAAUCAAGGGAUUAAAAGAUCAACUAUACAAGUUUUACACAUAAAUAUAAUAUAAGCUCAUAAACAAAGUGUAUAAAAUUAAAAUAUUAAUUAUAUAAACCAAAUCUAUUUGAUCCCCAGUAGAAUGGAGUAAAUAAAAAGAUACAUAAAACCACAUGAUAGUACAUAAAUUUCAUCCCAGAUAUUUUAUUGAGAAUGAAGAAGAAAGAUAUAUAGCCUAAAAUGUAGAUUUUUUUUAGCAUGGUUUGAACAAGUAGAAAGGAAAGAAAAAGAUAAUUAAAAGCCAAAGCAGAUGACCAUGCUACUGGGGCAACACUGAAGCCGAGAACCAUGCUUGAGCUCUUGAGACAGGCAGACAUGUGGGUGCGGUAAAUGGUGAAUGCUGAAGUUCUAAGGAAUGGUGACUCAGGAAGUGAAAGUCAAGAGGAGAAUUGUAGGAUCAAGAAGGUAUUUACACAGGACCAGAUGUAGAUGAAAAUACUUUUGUAAGUUGACUCUCAACAACAACAAACUAAAGUAUAUAAAUCUUGUUGUGUAUACAACAUGCAACGAAAAAAAUCAGAUAAAUGUUUAAAGAUAAAGGAUGUUUAUUAAGGUUCUUAUAAUCACAAAUGUUAUAAAUAGAUAAAUUCUCCAACAGUCUAUUGUUUGGUAAAAUAAGUCACGGCACUGUUAAACGUUGAAAUAACUAGUAGCAAUUAAAAUAGUAUAGGUUCUAUCUUCACUAAUGUGGACAAAUGUUCACAAUGUUUAUAUGCUAUGAAGGCAGACACAAAAGACACUGAAAGCACAACCCAGCAAAUAUGGUAGAUCUAAAUUACACAUACACACACAGGCACACAUGCACACACACACACACAUAGAAAAAUCCGGAGAAAUAAAUUUUUGUAAUAGGUCUCUGAGAUACUGGGAUGAAAGGUCGUUACUUUUUUUCUUUUGGUUAUGUUUUGUAAGUUACUACUUACAUUGACAAUGUAUUGAUUUUAUCACCAGAAAAUAAGAGAAAAGGAAGGAUGUGUCAAUGUAAAGCCACUGGUUAGAAUGAAAGAUGGAGAUGGGAAGGUAAGCAUAUGGUCAGAGCUUUUGAAAUUUUCAGAUACUGCAUCAUGGGGAGCAAAUAAUCUGCUUAUUUGCUAUUAUUUUCCCUUCCUUGGGAGCAUUAGAACUAUUAAAAUGGUUGAGAAGAAUAUAAGCCUGAAUUGUAAAAAAAAAAAAAAAAAAAAA
Chlorocebus sabaeus (green monkey) is the source of this 3467-nucleotide long non-coding RNA. RefSeq lists it as uncharacterized. Lineage: Eukaryota; Metazoa; Chordata; Mammalia; Primates; Cercopithecidae. The record is from RefSeq and is a predicted model, not a curated record.